This 221-nucleotide ribosomal RNA is filed under the name uncultured bacterium. RNAcentral describes it as "partial 16S ribosomal RNA". It matches the Rfam family "Bacterial small subunit ribosomal RNA", at positions 113 to 334 of the family's 1533-position model. The record is from RNAcentral.
CGACGUGGAUAACCUGCCUCACACAGGGGGAUAACAGUUAGAAAUGACUGCUAAUACCGCAUAAGCGCACGGCAUCGCAUGAUGCAGUGUGAAAAACUCCGGUGGUGUGAGAUGGAUCCGCGUCUGAUUAGGUAGUUGGUGGGGUAACGGCCUACCAAGCCGACGAUCAGUAGCCGACCUGAGAGGGCGACCGGCCACAUUGGGACUGAGACACGGCCCAA